GCAAGGGGCGAUGGCACGACGCUGUCCUGAGCAGCCACGCCGCAACCGACACACCCACUUUUGCACCCCUGCCCAGCUCUCAGAUUCUGUAGGGCCCAUACCCCGAAGCGACGUCCAAGAACGGCCCGUUUGAAAUUUGAACACACGUUGAGCCACACACCCCUCUCCGUCUCUCUCACACACACACACUCGCUCUGUUGGUUUGGUUUCCUUCCAAUUUUUGCCCCCUCCUCUGCCCCCAUCAUAACCCUGUCUUUUCCUCGAGCCGAUGACCGUUGCCACCGCCGCCGAUGACGACGACGACGAGCGCGAGCAUCCCCGCACCCGUCGCCUGCUCCUCCACGCAUCGCCACUGCCUUCCCUGCACCCAACGCCGAGGAAGCGCCGCCGCAUCCGCCGCUGCCGUCGUCGCCCUCCUCCUCGCCACCUCCGCCUGGCUCUCCCUCGUCUUCUCCUCUCCCUCUAUCCGCCUCCACUGGGCCCACAUCCGGACCUCCGCCUCCCCCUUCCGCCGGGCCUCUCCUCCCCCGCUGCCCGGCCCCUCCACUCGAGUCCCUCCCCCUACUGGCCCUCCCAACCGCCUCCGCCCGCUCUCCCUCCGCCACCUCGUCUUCGGCAUCGGCGGCUCCGCUCACCUCUGGCCGCGCCGCCGCGAGUUCGUCCGACUCUGGUGGCGGCCCGGCGCCAUGCGUGGCCACGUCUGGCUCGACGACCGCGUGCCCCGCCCGCCCCGCAACUCCUCCCUCGCCCGAUCCCUCCCCCCCGUCCGCGUCUCCGAGGACAUCUCUCGGUUCCGAUACACCAACCCCACCGGCCACCCCUCCGGCCUCCGCAUCGCCCGCAUCCUCUCCGAGACCUUCCGACUCGGCCACCGCGGCUCCCGGUGGUUUGUGCUCGUGGACGACGACACCAUCGUCUGCCCUGAUAACCUCGUCGCCGUGCUCGCCAAGUACGAUUGGACCGAGAUGGCGUAUGUCGGGAGCCCAUCGGAAAGUCACUCCGCCAACACCUACUUCAGCCACGCGAUGGCAUUCGGGGGCGGGGGGAUCGCCAUCAGCUAUCCUCUUGCCGUAGCUCUCGCGGGGAUGAUGGACGAGUGCAUCGAGAGGUAUCCAAAGCUGUACGGCAGCGACGACCGGUUGCAUGCAUGCAUCUCCGAGCUCGGAGUGCCUCUAAGUCGCGAGUACGGUUUCCACCAGUGGGAUAUCAGGGGAAAUGCCCAUGGUCUUUUGGCUGCUCACCCUGUUGCUCCUUUCGUAUCAAUUCACCAUGUUGAAGCCGUUGACCCCAUCUACCCUGGCUUGAGCACUCUUGGAAGCCUGAAGCGUUUCACCAAGGCUAUGAAGGCUGAUCCUAUGAGUUUCUUGCAGCGGUCAAUUUGUUACGACAAGAGGAGGAAGCUUACAUUCUCAGUCUCUCUGGGUUACGUCGUCCAAGUGUUCCCAACCAUUGUCCUUCCACGAGAGCUGGAACGUUCUGAACAGACUUAUAUUGCUUGGAAUAAGCUUAACAACAGGAAUGAGUUUGAUUUUGACACAAGGGAUACCUACAGGUCUGUUUGCAAGAAGCCAGUUCUGUUUUUCUUGAGAGAUAUUGAAAGGGAUGGAAAUACAACGCUGGGUUCAUAUAGACGAGUUAAGGGGAGAGACAAUCUAAAAAAAAAAGUAUUCUGCUUUCCUCGAACACCUCCUCUACCUGACGUGAAUGAAAUCCAAGUCUUUGGUACUCCAUUGAGCGAAAAUUGGCACUUGGUGCCUAGAAGGUUAUGCUGUAAACUAAAUCAAAGACGUUAUGGGACUCUGAAAAUUGCAGUUGGGCAGUGUGAUCAUGGAGCUUCGGGGUCUGCUGCUGGUUCCCUUUGACUAUAAGGUGCAUUAAGUUGUAUAUCAUCUGACCAGAUGGUGAUUAUUGUGAGCAAAAAACUCUAUUUUCUCCAUGCUUCAACUUUUUUGUUUCAUGCUUGGAGAUGUUCCUCGGAAGAUGGAACGGUGGUGUUCUGAAAGAGACGAGCCGUGCUGCGCCAUUACGAGCCUGCAAAGCUGGUCCGCCGCUGUUGCUGCUGCUGCUGCAUGUGAAGGCCCGUUUCCGAACUCUGCCAAGGCUUCCGACGAUGAGCCACCCGUGCGGGAUCGCAAGUACCAAAAGGUAAGCUUAAUUGUGAUCCUACCACCUAACAUUUCCACCAAUUCAAUGAGGGCGAGAGAGAGAGAGAGAGCUCGCGUUGACGCCUCGCGUCGUCGCUGUCAUGCUCUCCCGCGCCCGGCCAUGGAGCCAUGCUCUGUGGGGCGUACGAGUCGUUGCCACUGCUCGCUCGGCUCGAGCUCUUCGUCCCUCCCCCCUUCUCCCCAUCUGCCCUCUUUAAUUUCCUCGUCAUCAAAGCCCUUUGACCGAGUGAUUGGCUCAGCUACAUGGACGGCGGCCGCGGACGUCGAUAGUAAUGCGAUGUCAGGCGCCGCCGUUCCGUGCCGGUCGUGCCAUUGUCUGUGGACCAAACCCAACCGGGUUCGUUUUGGUACUCGCACUAAGCAGUGUUUUUCCGUACAACAGAUGAGUACUCGAGUCAGGUGCGUCCAAAUUUGCACAGUGCCUGUCACUGAAAUGACAAUUCGGCACCCUUUUUUUAUUUAUAUUAAGAUAAUUAAUACGAGGGAGAUUGGAAAAUAACUGAAGUUUUUGAAUUUAAAUAGACGAUUUAUAUUAUAAGUACAUAAAAUUUAUAUUAUAAGUAGUUUGAUUGGUAUCAGAGUCAAGAGUCAAAAAAAAAAAAGUU
This is an RNA transcript of Musa acuminata AAA Group (dessert banana), 2770 nucleotides long. RefSeq lists it as uncharacterized. The transcript has 4 exons. Lineage: Eukaryota; Viridiplantae; Streptophyta; Magnoliopsida; Zingiberales; Musaceae. The record is from RefSeq and is a predicted model, not a curated record.